UACGGAGGGAGCGAACGUUGUUCGGAUUUACUGGGCGUAAAGGGCGUGUAGGCGGCUCCGUAAGUCAGGGGUGAAAUGUCCCGGCUCAACCGGGAACCUGCCUUUGAAACUGCGGUGCUCGAGGUCGUGAGAGGAGACUGGAAUUCCUAGUGUAGCGGUGAAAUGCAUAGAUAUUAGGAAGAACACCAGUGGCGAAGGCGAGUCUCUGGCACGAACCUGACGCUGAAACGCGAAAGCUAGGGGAGCAAACGGG
This 253-nucleotide ribosomal RNA is filed under the name uncultured bacterium. RNAcentral's name for it is "partial 16S ribosomal RNA". It matches the Rfam family "Bacterial small subunit ribosomal RNA", at positions 524 to 776 of the family's 1533-position model. The record is from RNAcentral.